Molecule: microRNA precursor, 69 nt
Filed under: Bombyx mori (domestic silkworm)
Lineage: Eukaryota; Metazoa; Arthropoda; Insecta; Lepidoptera; Bombycidae
Description: mir-2774 microRNA precursor family
Rfam family: mir-2774 microRNA precursor family
Source: Rfam by way of RNAcentral
ACAACAAAUUCAGACCGUCGGUCUACCGAGCAAUAUCACUCGCUCAGUGGAAGAUUUUCUCUUUGUUGU